Molecule: long non-coding RNA, 1513 nt
Filed under: Nicotiana benthamiana
Lineage: Eukaryota; Viridiplantae; Streptophyta; Magnoliopsida; Solanales; Solanaceae
Description: long non-coding RNA (NBEN_LNC012437)
Source: RNAcentral
UAUAAUAAUGAAUUAAUUAAUAAAAAAAAAAAAGGGUUGGUUAAGAACUAUUGACUGUAAACCAUAGCAGUUACAGUCACUCAAUGGAGAUGUUCGCCUUUGUUUGGAAUGAAGAUGGAUGAACAGGCACUUGAGCCUGGAACGGGUUGGUUAAGAACUAUUGACUAUAAACCAUAGCAGUUAUAGUCACUCAAUGGAGAUGUUCGCCUUUGUUUGGAAGGAAGAUGGAUGAACAAGCACUUGAGCCUGGAACUGAUGAAAUUCGGGGAAAACAUGGAAGCGGUCAAUAUACUGGGGGGGCAAGACAUGACCGCGACUUAAGAAAAAAGUACCCUUGAAAAGACUAAAGGAACGGGGGAAUGACUACCUGUAAUAAAGCACAGGCUAAUACGAGCCGACCAGAAGAAGCAAGGCUUAGAUUACCAGAUCCUGGACACAAUCUUCCUAGAGAUGGAGAGCCCCUUGCCUCGCCUUUUUGCACCUAUCCUUCUUGCUUGCUUACCUAUAGCUCUCUUGUCUUAGUGACUCUUCCUCUUUUCUAGGUUUUUUUUUCUGAGUGUUAAAACGAUAGAUUUUUCUUUUGCCAAUGAAUUGGAUCCGCUCCGAUUCAAUCAAUAAUGGGAUUCUUGGCUAGAGAAAGGUUCUGUGACAUGGACUCCCAGCCCAACCCGGUUGGUCGGUUGGCCCACCUAAUAGAUGAUGAGAUUCUCGAUCGAUUUGAUCGAAUUUCAAAAACUCUUUCCCACUAUUCAGAAUAGUGGAGCUUCCGAUCAAGAUCUUCUUGCCUCACCCGUUUGGGCUCUCGCUCGAAUCACAACCUUUAUGUGUUGGUAGGCUUUCGAAUCAAUCUAAUAGCCUACCUAUCGGGCGCCAAUAAAAGAGAACGUUUUCGCAUGGGCUCAUCUUCUGAUGCAGAACCGAUGCGAGAGGGAGAAGCGGGGAUUGAUAGCUUUCAAGAACCAGUAGAAAGGAAAGACUUCUUCCCUGCAAUCCUUCCUUUCCAAAAAAAAAGUAAAUUUGUUUGGGAUGGCAUAGGCAUAAAAUAUUUGGUUAAAUGAAUGCCACCUUGGUAGUUUUCAAACAAAUCCAAUGUUAGUCCAAGCCUUGCCAGCCGGUAAUAGCCGAAGGCAAAAAAGGGGGAGAUAGGUAAGAGGAGAUUAAGGAUAGUCACUCCGCUCCAUAGAUAGUGCACACAGAUUCUUCUUUCAUUUUCCAUUCCUUUCGGGUCGGAAACGCGGGCUGCUAGUGGGGCUGUGCCCAUUCUCCCUCUUCUUCCGCUUUACAACCGGAAUAAGGAACCUUAGAAUUCACCCUACCUGUCGAUGAAAAAAUGGGAUUUGAGAGGAGCUGAAAGCCACUUGACUCUAAGGAGAGGACCACCAGCUAGCGGAUCAGAAAGAUUUGUAUGGAAUGUCCUACUCCUGCCUGAGCUUUCCGAUCAACCAAUCCCCUAUUUCAGGGACAUCUGUGUUAGGUAGGCCCAGGGAUCACUGAUUAGUCGAAUGAGCCCAUC